This 1118-nucleotide long non-coding RNA is filed under the name Apteryx rowi (Okarito brown kiwi). RNAcentral's name for it is "lncRNA (ENSARWG00000006218.1)". Lineage: Eukaryota; Metazoa; Chordata; Aves; Apterygiformes; Apterygidae. The record is from RNAcentral.
GACCUGCUCUGAGCCGCGCAGGCAGCCGAACCAUAGUAUCUCCUGGUCUCCAGGCUUGUGCAAACAGCAGGUCUGCACAAGUGGAAUUCCCGCAGAAUUCCCGGUGGAACGACUGAUCCCGGUAACGGCAGCGCGUGACACUCGAGCAGGAGCCGAGCCACAGCUGUUUCAUAGUUUCCAGCGCAGGCUUCUUGCACGGAGCUGGUGGGAGAUUCCCGAGCUAAGUGUCGCAAGGGCAGCGCGUCCUCUUGCCCGAUCAAAGUCCGGUGGUGUGCACAAGGGCCGAGUGCAGCAGAACACCGCGCGCGGUGGGAGAGGCCAAGCGUGGCGGUGCUGGGCCGGUGGCACUGUCCGUCCAGUGCGCACAGACCCGGGAACUCAGACUCCCAGCUCCUGUUCAUAGCUCAGUAACCAGUUAAUUGCAAAGCCUUUUGUAAAUCGUUCAGGCCUAAUCCUGCACAGGUAGAGGCCCCCAGCAGAGUCCUUCCAGUUUUUCACUGGGGACAUAGGAUCAGCUUCUUAAAUGCCUUUUUUUCCCCUCCCUUGCCCUCAGUCUGUAAACCUGAGAACGAAAAUCACCAUCUUCGUGCAGAAAAUGCGAUAAUUCGUAGAUGUUUGUGAAGCAGUAGCAUGGGCAUCGCUGUGCGACAUGUGUGUGACCUGGCAUCCGUAAAGGGGACUGAUUGAUUGCAGUUAUCAGCUGGCCCUUUGGAGCGUGCGAUUGCUGGCCUGUCUCAUCUGAAUACAAUUUUCUGUGAUUAUGGAGGAUAAUGCUGGAAAUGCCUCUGCACUGGCCUUGCCGCGUGUCCAGAUGGCAAGGUCAGCGUUGCGUGGACCUUGCUCAGUUGCUCUGAAUGCCAGCAUCCGUGCUGCUGUUUUCUUCUCUCUUCGCGUCCCUGGCUCAGCUAGAAAUCACGGCGUUCUAUGGCUGUCGAUAAAUUCAGAGAGCUGGAAGUGAAUGCCUACAGUGAACUCUGCUUUCACUGGUCUUAAAUUUAUUUCCCACCCUUUUGCAAAAGUGAAUGGGGACACUGGUUUUGUACGGUACUCUUGCUUUAAGAUAAUCUGAGCUGCAAUCUUAAAAUAAACCAAAGUGAGUUAAAAACCUGAGCUAGGAG